AAGCGGACCUCAUAAAGUAUGUCGUAGUCCGGAUUGGAGUCUGCAACUCGACUCCAUGAAGUCGGAAUCGCUAGUAAUCGUAGAUCAGAAUGCUACGGUGAAUACGUUCCCGGGCCUUGUACACACCGCCCGUCACACCAUGGGAGUGGGUUGCAAAAGAAGUAGGUAGCUUAACCUUCGGGAGGGCGCUUACCACUUUGUGAUUCAUGACUGGG
Molecule: ribosomal RNA, 215 nt
Filed under: Klebsiella pneumoniae
Lineage: Bacteria; Pseudomonadati; Pseudomonadota; Gammaproteobacteria; Enterobacterales; Enterobacteriaceae
Description: partial 16S ribosomal RNA
Rfam family: Bacterial small subunit ribosomal RNA
Source: RNAcentral